RNAcentral lists this long non-coding RNA (494 nucleotides) under Rhagoletis pomonella (apple maggot). Its description in RNAcentral is "uncharacterized LOC118732878". Lineage: Eukaryota; Metazoa; Arthropoda; Insecta; Diptera; Tephritidae. The record is from RNAcentral.
ACCAAGAUGCAUGUACAGCUCCGAGACGACCACCAAAUUCGUGUUUCGUAUGUGCUGAGGUUGGGCAUACUCGCCAUAAUUGCCCUCGUCGUGGUGGAUCAAAUAAUUCAAAGGUGGCAGCUGCAGUUGGAGAUGAUGAGGAACUCGAACGAUGCCAGUUAGCUGAACGUUUAGCUCCUAAUAAUUUGUCCUAUCAGUUUCAUUAGAAGACCAUGUGUGCCCGCAACGGUUGAAGUAAAUGUUGAUUGGAAACUAUCGUGCUACCGUGGAAUGGGUAAUAGCGAUUGAAUGUAUUUGAUUCUGAGGCUGUGGUGCCGUUGUUGGUGGGGCGUGAUCUUUUGGGAAGGAUGGGAGUUGGUUUGUGUCAGAUAGAGACAAUUAGAUAUAAGAAAUAUGAUCUGUUGAAAAUGAAUGAUCAAAAUAAAAUUUCUAUAGCGGACAAUGUCAUAAGUGCCCUUCGACUUUUUGAUAUAUGUAAAUAUCCGUCAAGUAAU